GACGAACGCUGGCGGCGUGCUUAACACAUGCAAGUCGAACGGAAAGGCCCUGCAUUUGUGGGGUGCUCGAGUGGCGAACGGGUGAGUAACACGUGAGUAACCUGCCCUUGACUUUGGGAUAACUUCAGGAAACUGGGGCUAAUACCUGAUAGGAGCUCCUGCUGCAUGGUGUGGGUUGGAAAGUUUCGGCGGUUGGGGAUGGACUCGCGGCUUAUCAGCUUGUUGGUGGGGUAGUGGCUUACCAAGGCUUUGACGGGUAGCCGGCCUGAGAGGGUGACCGGCGACAUUGGGACUGAGGUACGGCCCAGACUCCUACGGGAGGCAGCAGUGGGGAAUAUUGCACAAUGGGCGGAAGCCUGAUGCAGCAACGCCGCGUGCGGGAUGACGGCCUUCGGGUUGUAAACCGAUUUCGCCUGUGACGAAGCGUGAGUGACGGUAAUGGGUAAAGAAGCACCGGCUAACUACGUG
Molecule: ribosomal RNA, 468 nt
Filed under: uncultured bacterium
Lineage: Bacteria
Description: partial 16S ribosomal RNA
Rfam family: Bacterial small subunit ribosomal RNA
Source: RNAcentral